UACGUAGGGCGCAAGCGUUAUCCGGAAUUAUUGGGCGUAAAGAGCUUGUAGGCGGUUUGUCGCGUCUGCCGUGAAAGUCCGGGGCUCAACUCCGGAUCUGCGGUGGGUACGGGCAGACUAGAGUGAUGUAGGGGAGACUGGAAUUCCUGGUGUAGCGGUGAAAUGCGCAGAUAUCAGGAGGAACACCGAUGGCGAAGGCAGGUCUCUGGGCAUUAACUGACGCUGAGGAGCGAAAGCAUGGGGAGCGAACAGG
Molecule: ribosomal RNA, 253 nt
Filed under: uncultured bacterium
Lineage: Bacteria
Description: partial 16S ribosomal RNA
Rfam family: Bacterial small subunit ribosomal RNA
Source: RNAcentral